RNAcentral lists this ribosomal RNA (253 nucleotides) under uncultured bacterium. RNAcentral describes it as "partial 16S ribosomal RNA". It matches the Rfam family "Bacterial small subunit ribosomal RNA", at positions 524 to 776 of the family's 1533-position model. The record is from RNAcentral.
UACGGAGGGUGCGAGCGUUGUCCGGAUUUAUUGGGUUUAAAGGGUGCGUAGGCGGAUUGAUAAGUCAGUGGUGAAAGCCUGCAGCUUAACUGCAGAACUGCCAUUGAUACUGUCAAUCUUGAAUAUGUUUGAUGUGGGCGGAAUAUGACAUGUAGCGGUGAAAUGCUUAGAUAUGUCAUAGAACACCGAUUGCGAAGGCAGCUCACAAAGCCAUUAUUGACGCUGAGGCACGAAAGCGUGGGGAUCAAACAGG